UACGUAGGGGGCGAGCGUUGUCCGGAAUCAUUGGGCGUAAAGAGCGUGUAGGCGGUUCGGUAAGUCUGCCGUGAAAACCUGGGGCUCAACCCUGGGCGUGCGGUGGAAACUGUCGAGCUAGAGGAUGGUAGAGGGGAGUGGAAUUCCCGGUGUAGCGGUGAAAUGCGCAGAUAUCGGGAGGAACACCAAUGGCGAAGGCAGCUCGCUGGGACGUUACUGACGCUGAGACGCGAAAGCGUGGGGAGCAAACAGG
This 253-nucleotide ribosomal RNA is filed under the name uncultured bacterium. RNAcentral describes it as "partial 16S ribosomal RNA". It matches the Rfam family "Bacterial small subunit ribosomal RNA", at positions 524 to 776 of the family's 1533-position model. The record is from RNAcentral.